GAGCUUCAGCUAGGCUGCGUACUCAGCCUUUUCCUCAUGGCUUUGAACAUUAAGACUCCCAUGGUGGUUGAGAACAUUACCCUCAGGUGCCUGUGAAUCUUGCAGAAGCUGAUUAAACCACCUGCUCCCACUAGCAAGAAGAACAAGGAUGUCCUUGUCUAGGCCCUCACCACAGUGAAACCAUAUUGCAAUGAGAUCCCUGCCCAGGCUCAACUGUGGCUCAAGAGAGACCCCAAGGCAUCUUAUGAUGCCUGGAAGAAGUAUCUUCCUAUCAAAGAGAUAGAUGGCAGUGGGAAAGCCCACAGCAAAUCAGAGCUCUAUUUGACUGAGAAGUAUGUGUGGAGGUGGAAACAGUUCCUGAGUCGUCAGGGGAAGAGGAUCUUGCCCUUGGAUCUCAAACUGGGGCAUAACAACUGGCUGCGCCAAGUGCUUUUCACUCCAGCAACACAGGCUGCAUGCCAGGCAGCCUGUACCAUUGAGGAAGCUCAAGUCACCAUUCCCAGCCGCAAGCAAAAGUCCUGGAUCUGCUUACCAGUUAUCUGGAUGAGCUGAGCAUAGCUGGGGAGUGUGCAGCCGAGUUCCUGGCUCUCUACCAGAAGCUCAUCACUUCCGUGCACUGUAAAGACUACUUGGCAGCUUGGGGAAUCCUAUGCUAUGUGGGCAACCUCAUCACUAAGGAAAUAGCCCAUCUGCUGGCCCUGGAGGAGGCUAUCCUGAGCACUGAUCCGCAGCAGGGCUAUGCCCUUAAAAGUCUCACAGGCCUUCUCUCCUCCUUUGUUGUGGUGGAAUUCAUCAAAAGACACUUUAAAAGUCGCUUGAUGGAUACUGUGCUGAGUGGAUACCUGUGCUUGUGAAAGCUGGUGAUGCAGAGGACCAAGCUGAUUGAUGAGAUGCAGGACAUACUGCUGGAGAUGCUGGAGGACAUGAGCACAGGUACAGAAUCAGAAACCAAGGCCUUCAUGGCUAUGUGCAUUGAGACAGCCAAGCGCUACAACCUGGAUGACUACUGAAGCCCGGUGUUCAUCUUCAAGAGGCUCUGUAGCAACAUUUAUCCUGAGGAGAAUGAACUUACUGGGUUCUUUGUGACCCUGGAGAAAGAACUCCAGCAAGAAGCCUUCUUACAGGGCAGGUUGCCUGGGAACCCAUACAGCAGCAAUGAGCCAGGCAUCGGGCCACUGAUGAGGGAUAAAAAGAACAAGAUUUGCCAGGACUGUGAUUUGGUGGCCCUCUGGGGAGAUGACAGUGGCAUGGAGCUUCUAGUGAACAGUAAACUCAUUAGUUUGGAACUUCCUGUGGCUAAAGUUACAAGAAAGUCUGGUGUACCAUGAAUGAGCGAGAGCCCAUAAGCACUGUUUAUUGUAUGUGGGGGCUGCUGGUCAAUGCCACGGAGGAAUUCAUCGAGUCCCUGGAUUCUACCACAGAUGAAGAAGAUGAUGAAGAAGUGUACAAAAUAGCUGGUGUGAUGGCUCAGUGUGGGAGCCCAGAAUGCAUGCUUAAGAGACUCAUCAGGAUCAGAGAUUUCAAGCAGGGAUGCCACCUUCUAAUGGUGCUACUGAAAUUGUUCAGUGACUGUGUGAAGGUGAAAGUCAACUGGCAGAAACUGGUCAGACUGGAAAUGAACACCUUGAAUUUCACGCUGGGGACUCUAAACUUGGCCCUUGAACAAGAAAGCAAGGACAGUGGGGGCGCAGCUGUGGCUGAGAAGGUACUUAGCGUCAUGGAGAUCAUUCUCGGUGAGUCCAAUGCUGAGCCCCUGAGUGAGGACAAGGCAAACCUCCUCCUGACAGGUGACAAGGAUCAAUUCAUGAUGCUCUUGGGCCAGAUCAACAGCACCUUCGUCCGCUCCAAUCCCAGCGUGCUCCAGGGCCUGCCUCAUAUCAUCCUGUACCUUUCCUUUGGAGAGGUGGAGAUAAUGCAGAUCUUGGUGGAGCCAUUCAAACCAUACUGCAACUUUGAUAAGUAUGAUGAAGAUCACAGCGGCCAUGAUAAAGUCUUCCUGGACUGCUUCUGUAAAAUAGCUGCUGGCAUCAAGAACAACAGCAAUGGGCACCAGCUGAAGGAUCUGAUUCUCCAGAAGAGGAUCACCCAGAAUGCACCUGACUACAUGAAAAAGCACAUCCCUAGCACCAAGAACUUGGAUGUUGACAUCUGGAAAAAGAUUUUGUCUCUGCCAGCCUUACCUUUUAUCCUGAGGCUGCUUCUGGGCCUAGCCAUAGAGCACCCUGCCAUCCAGGUUCUGAUUGGAACUGACUUCAUCCCAAACCUGCAUAAGCUGGAGCAGGUGUCCAGUGACGAGGGCAUUGGGACCAUGGCAGAGAACCUGCCGGAAGCCCUGCGGGAACACCCUGAUGUAAACAAGAAGAUUGAUGCAGACCGCAGGGAGACCCAAGUGGAGAAGAAGAGCAUGGCCCUGGUGAUGAGGCAGAAGGCUCUGGGCACCCUGGCCAUGAUGACAAAUGAAAAGGACCAGUUCGUAACCAAGAUGGCACUCCUGAAGCAGAUGGAAGAGCUGAUAGAGGAACCCAGCCUCAUGUGCUGCACCUGCAGGGAGGGAUAUAAGUUCCAUCCCAGGAAGGUCCUGGGCAUUUAUACCUUCAUGAAGCGGGUAGUCUCAGAGGAGAUGGAGAAUAAGCCUGAAAGAGCAGGGACACAGCACCGUGUCCCUCUUUACCAUCGUGUACUACGACUACCAUCUGGCUGCUGUCAGGUUGGCCCGAGGCCGGGAAGAGUGGGAAAGUGACGCCCUUCAGAAUGUCAACACCAAGACCAAUGCGCUCCAUCUGGUCUGGGGCCUCACGUCCCUGAAUCAGCUUUUGCCACUUGCUUGGCAGUACACAACACUUACCUCCAGGAAUGUACAGGCCAGCGCGAGCCCACGUAGCAGCUCAACAACAUCAAACUGCUCUUCCUGCAGUUCGCUGUGGAGCAGCCGUUCAGUGCAGACACCUGCGGGGGCGGCCGGGAGAGCAACAUGCACCUGACCCCUACAUCAUUCACACUGUGCUUUACGUCCUGAACACAACCCGAGCAACUCCCGAGAACAGAAGAACCUCCAAGGCUUUCUGGAGCAGCCCAAGGAGAAGUGGGUAGAGAGUGCCUUUGAAGUGGACGGGUCCCACUAUUUAUGUCACAAUCCUGGCCCUUCGCAUCCUGCCCUCCGAGCCGUGGAAAGCCACACGUGUGGAAAUCUUGCGGAGGCUGCUGGUGACCUCUCAGGCCUGGGCAGUGGCUCCAGGUGGAGCCACAAGGCUGACGGAUAAGGCAGCCUUUUCUUCUGGGCCCUCGUCGAUCUCAUUUACAACAUGUUUAAGAAGGUACCUAUCAGUAACAUGGAGGGAGGCUGGUCCUGCUCUUUCGCUGGGGACAUCCGCCACGACAUGCCCAGCUACAAAGCUGCCGACAAAGCCCUGAAAACCUUCCAGGAGGAGUUCAUGCCGGUGGAAACCUUCUCAGAGUUCCUCGACGUAGCUAGUCUUUGAUCAGAAGUCACUGAUCCCGAGAGCCUCCUGAAGGACCCAUUGAACUUAGUCCCCUGACCACCACACAAAAGCUCCAGUGGCGAAGAUGGAAGCGGGCUGGCCUUCCACCCUCUGUUCUCCCUCCUCGUGCGCUGAGUUCCCCUCCGCGGGAUGCUGCAUUGUGACCCCGCCCUCCCCUCUCUCGUUUUUCCUUGGCGUGGCUUGGGGUUUUUAGGCUUCCUGUUUUAUCUCGUGUGUGUGGUGCACUAGCUAUGAAGUCGUAUGUAACCCAAGCCAUCAACUGGCCUGUACAUACCUAGGAGCCAUGAGUUGUCCCGACCAACUUCAUACUUGAGUGUGCACAUCUUGAGGAAUAAGCAAAUGACUUAA
Molecule: RNA transcript, 3848 nt
Organism: Callithrix jacchus (white-tufted-ear marmoset)
Lineage: Eukaryota; Metazoa; Chordata; Mammalia; Primates; Cebidae
Gene name: E3 ubiquitin-protein ligase UBR4 pseudogene
Source: RefSeq, a predicted model, not a curated record